Molecule: long non-coding RNA, 975 nt
Organism: Lotus japonicus
Lineage: Eukaryota; Viridiplantae; Streptophyta; Magnoliopsida; Fabales; Fabaceae
Exons: 2
Source: RefSeq, a predicted model, not a curated record
CCAGAUUUUGUUCUUCAUCCAUCUCUUCCUUCUUCUUCUUCUUCUUCAUCUUCUCUUUCACAUACCUACACAAACCCACUCACCCACCCUAGUUCUCUCUCUCUCUUUCUCUAUUUCGUUCGACCCACUAAAUUUCUCUGCAAAGUUCGAAUCUUUAGCAGAAGAAUUGCAAGACCCAGAAAAAAAAUCCCAAAUGGGUUCAACUAUGAUUCAAUAGUGAAGCUUUCGUGGUCGUUCAACAAUGGGGGUUUGCACUUCUAAGCAGGAUUGUGCAUGUAACGGAAAGCAUCAAUCCGAUGGCUGGAAGCUUUGACCAUGUGGCUGAAAGCUUCGAUCUGGUGGCCGCGCUGGGGCUCCAAACCCGCUCCGUCGCGAUAUCAAAUACCCAUGGCCUGCGGCGUCGUCAUCGAGGUACGACCUUCGCGAUCCAGAACCUCCAUCGCUCCAACACGAGACCACCGUCCUGGAGCCAGAACCUUCACGAUCCAAGCAUAGCCGUCGUCGCGUGACCACCAGAGGUGUCGCGCCGCCAACACCAUCGCAUCUUUCUCCUUCGAUCUGCAAUUCGCCACCAUCACCGUCGCAAUCGCCCCUUUCUCCUGCGAUCUGCAGUUUCCACUCUUUUUCUUCUGUUGUGGUUGGGCACAUACGAAUCCAAGAAUGGCUAACAAAGGGUCUAGAAGAAGAGCGUGGAGGACCUGCGCAGGGCACAGAGCGAGGCGAGGCGCUAUAUACAUAUGGCCUUGGACUUCAUUGCACAGAGUACACAUGCCGACAUGACAUAUAUCAGAGGAAGAGGAAGGUUUCUACCUCAUCCACCUCCACUUCAUAGUUUUUUUAUGAUGUUUUGGAUGAUAUUUUGGAUUCAAUGAUUGGUAAAUGUUAUGAUGUAAUAUUAUGAUCUUAGGAUAUUAUGAGCUUGUAAACAAAAAAAAAAAGGAAAUUGCACCGAGUUAACAUUACCAGGUUCUAAAA